This is a small nuclear RNA of Erigeron canadensis, 167 nucleotides long. RefSeq annotates it as U1 spliceosomal RNA. The transcript has a single exon. NCBI's taxonomy places the organism in Eukaryota, Viridiplantae, Streptophyta, Magnoliopsida, Asterales, Asteraceae. The record is from RefSeq and is a predicted model, not a curated record.
UUACAUACCUGGACGGGGUCAUAAUGGGUGAUCAAGUAGGCCCAUGGCCUAGGCUGGUGACUUCCAUUGCACAUUUAACGGAAGGGUGCUGGCCUAAGGUCGGCCCAUUGUGGUCGAUCCUACGUCGUAAUUUGUGGCAGCGGGGUUUGCGUACGCGCGACCCCUUC